UACGGAGGAUGCAAGCGUUAUCCGGAAUGAUUGGGCGUAAAGCGUCCGCAGGUGGCUAUGUAAGUCUGCUGUCAAAGCGUCUGGCUCAACCAGAUAAAGGCAGUGGAAACUACAUAGCUAGAGUGCGUUCGGGGCAGAGGGAAUUCCUGGUGUAGCGGUGAAAUGCGUAGAGAUCAGGAAGAACACCGGUGGCGAAAGCGCUCUGCUAGGCCGCAACUGACACUGAGGGACGAAAGCUAGGGGAGCGAAUGGG
This 253-nucleotide ribosomal RNA is filed under the name uncultured bacterium. Its description in RNAcentral is "partial 16S ribosomal RNA". It matches the Rfam family "Bacterial small subunit ribosomal RNA", at positions 524 to 776 of the family's 1533-position model. The record is from RNAcentral.